CUCUAUCUUGGGUGGGCAUGGUGGUCAUAGCUACUCGAGAGGCUGAGGCAGGAGGAUUGCUUGAGCCUAGGAGUUCUGGGCUGUAGUGCCUAUGCCCAUGAGAUGUCAGCACUAAGUCACCAUGUCAAUAUGGUGAUCUCCGGGGAGUAGGGGAUCACCAGGGUGCCUAAGCCUAAGGAGGGCUGAAGCCGCCCAGGGAAACUGAAACAAGUUAAAACUGUGGUGCUGAUCAGUAGUGGGAUUGCACUUGUGAAUAGCCACUGCACUCCAGCCUGGGCAGUAUAGUGAGACCCCAUCUC
This 299-nucleotide signal recognition particle RNA is filed under the name Microcebus murinus (gray mouse lemur). Its description in RNAcentral is "Metazoan signal recognition particle RNA (ENSMICG00000029903.2)". It matches the Rfam family "Metazoan signal recognition particle RNA". From Rfam's summary of the family: The signal recognition particle (SRP) is a universally conserved ribonucleoprotein. It is involved in the co-translational targeting of proteins to membranes. The record is from RNAcentral. Lineage: Eukaryota; Metazoa; Chordata; Mammalia; Primates; Cheirogaleidae.